GCAAUAAAGCUAGCCCAAACACACCUACAAAAGACCCUGAUACCUAUACCAAACCAUUUAUCAAGACCAGUAUAUGCGAUAGAACCUCACCAAAACCGAAGCAAUAGCAAAAGUACCGCAAGGAAACGCUGAAAGAACAGUGAAACAAACAAGCAAUAACACAGCAAAGACUAACACUUGUACCUCUUGCAUCAUGAUUUAGCCAGAACAACACAGACAAAAAGAAUUAAGCCAGUAUCCCCGAAACCAGGUGAGCUACUACAAGGCAACUAUUAGGGUGAACCCGUCUCUGUGGCAAAAGAGUGGGAUGACCGAGCAGUAGAGGUGAAAAGCCUAACGAACCUGGUUAUAGCUGGUUGCUCAACAAGCGAAUUUUAGUUCGCCUUUAGGUUAUUACAAAACAUCAACUUAACACAACAAGCCUAAAAGAUAUUCAAUGGGGGUACAGCUCUAUUGAAACAGGAUACAACCAAUAUCUGAGAACCAACCAACCCUUUCAACCCCGUAGGCCCUUAAGCAGCCACCAUAAAAUCAAAGCGUCAAAGCACAAAACAUAAAAUACCAAAUAUUUUCAUGAACCCCAGAUCACACACCUUGAGCCACUCUAUAACAAUAGAUGAACUUAUGCUAAAACGAGUAACAAGAAAACUUCUCUCGGCACACCCGUGCCCCAGUAAUAGAAAACCUGCUGACAAUUAACAGACCAAAACAGGCACAACAACCAAAACAACUGUUAUACCAACACUGUCACACCAACACAGGGGUGCUAUAAAGAAAGAUAAAAAGCCCUAAAAGGAACUCAGCAAAACUUGUCUCAACUGUUUACCAAAAACAUAGCCUUUAGCAAUAUAAGUAUUAAAGGUCCUGCCUGCCCAGUGAAACCCCUUCUUUUCAACGGCCGCGGUAUUCUAACCGUGCAAAGGUAGCGUAAUCACUUGUCUCCUAAAUAGAGACUAGUAUGAACGGCUAAAUGAAGACAAGCCUGUCUCUUGGGGCCUAUCAGUGAAACUGAUCUUCCAGUCCAAAAGCUGGAAUAUAAACACAAGACGAGAAGACCCUGUGGAGCUUUAAAUUUACUACCAAUAAACAUCCUGGUAUAAGAUUUUAAGUUGGGGCGACUUCGGAACAAAACAGAACUUCCGAGCACAGAACUACCACUUCUAUCUUAGGCGGACACGCCAAAGAACUAAGUUAGACCCAGUCAAACUGAUCAACGAACCAAGUUACCCCAGGGAUAACAGCGCCAUCUUCUUCAAGAGUCCCUAUCGACAAGAAGGUUUACGACCUCGAUGUUGGAUCAGGACACCCAAAUGGUGCAGCCGCUAUUAAAGGUUCGUUUGUUCAACGAUUAACAGUCCUACGUGAUCUGAGUUCAGACCGGAGCAAUCCAGGUCGGUUUCUAUCUAUGUCGCACCUUUCCUCAGUACGAAAGGACAAGGAAAGGGGGACCUAUGUCAACAACACGUCCUACGCCAACACAACUGAACGCAACUUAAGUCACACGUGCAGCACGUACUUAGGCCAUAGACAACGGCUU
This 1537-nucleotide ribosomal RNA is filed under the name Sphenomorphus incognitus. RNAcentral's name for it is "16S ribosomal RNA". It matches the Rfam family "Bacterial large subunit ribosomal RNA". The record is from RNAcentral. Lineage: Eukaryota; Metazoa; Chordata; Lepidosauria; Squamata; Scincidae.